This 316-nucleotide ribosomal RNA is filed under the name uncultured bacterium. RNAcentral describes it as "bacterial SSU rRNA". It matches the Rfam family "Bacterial small subunit ribosomal RNA", at positions 28 to 351 of the family's 1533-position model. The record is from RNAcentral.
GAUGAACGCUGGCGGCGUGCCUAACACAUGCAAGUCGAACGAACCUAAUCUUCGGAAAGGGUUAGUGGCGCACGGGUGAGUAACACGUAGGUGACCUGCCCCAGAGUGGGGGAUAACUUCUCGAAAGAGAAGCUAAUACCGCAUACGCUCAGCCAUUCAUUUGGUUGAGUAAAGCUCUGGCGCUCUGGGAGGGGCCUGCGUCCGAUUAGCUAGUUGGUGAGGUAAUGGCUUACCAAGGCAAUGAUCGGUAGCUGGUCUGAGAGGACGAUCAGCCACACUGGCACUGACACACGGGCCAGACUCCUACGGGUGGCAG